CUUAGAGGUUAAACCCGAUGAACCUAAAUAUCCAGUAUGAGAAAGUCAUUAUUAUGAGUAUAUUAUUUUAUAAUGUAUUAAUAGUGUGCAUUUUUUUCAUAAAAAGGACAUUGUAAUCUGUUAAUACAAUUUAUAUAUUCUUUUAUAUAUUAUUUUUAUCAUAAAGAGUCAUGUAUAAGUUUACAUAUAAAUUAAUUAAUUUAUUAAUUAAUUGAUGUAAGAUCGAUGAAUUUCUAGAUAAAUAGUUAACAGUAUUAAAAUAUAUAAUGCUUACAUAAUUUUUUAUGUCUUAUAUAUAAUAUGUACAUGUACAUAUAUAUGUUUUUGCACUUAUAUUAUAACACUGCUCAGAUUUUCGGAUCUUCGCCUCG
Molecule: ribosomal RNA, 371 nt
Filed under: Crucinotacris decisa
Lineage: Eukaryota; Metazoa; Arthropoda; Insecta; Orthoptera; Acrididae
Description: partial 28S ribosomal RNA
Source: RNAcentral